GGUAGCCGNCCUGAGAGGGUGACCGGCCACACUGGGACUGAGANACGGCCCAGACUCCUACGGGAGGCAGCAGUGGGGAAUAUUGCACAAUGGGCGMAAGCCUGAUGCAGCGACGCCGCGUGNGGGAUGACGGCCUUCGGGUUGUAAACCUCUUUCAGCAGGGACGAAGNGNNAGUGACGGUACCUGCAGAAGAAGSACCGGCNAACUACGUGCCAGCAGCCGCGGUAAUACGUAGGGUGCAAGCGUUGUCCGGAAUUACUGGGCGUAAAGAGUUCGUAGGCGGUUUGUCGCGUCGUUNGUGAAAACCNNCAGCUCAACUGCNGGCUUGCAGGCGAUACGGGCAGACUUGAGUACUGCAGGGGAGACUG
RNAcentral lists this ribosomal RNA (369 nucleotides) under uncultured bacterium. Its description in RNAcentral is "partial 16S ribosomal RNA". It matches the Rfam family "Bacterial small subunit ribosomal RNA", at positions 282 to 663 of the family's 1533-position model. The record is from RNAcentral.